RNAcentral lists this ribosomal RNA (923 nucleotides) under uncultured archaeon. Its description in RNAcentral is "bacterial SSU rRNA". It matches the Rfam family "Archaeal small subunit ribosomal RNA", at positions 1 to 900 of the family's 1478-position model. The record is from RNAcentral.
UUCCGGUUGAUCCCGCCGGACCCUACUGCUAUCGGGGUGGGACUAAGACAUGCGAGUUGAGCGUCUCUAAGCUAUGGUAGAGACGCGGCGUACGGCUCAGUAACACGUGGCUAACCUACCCUUAGGACGGGGACAACCCCGGGAAACUGGGGCUAAUACCCGAUAGGCGAGGAGGCCUGGAAUGGUUCUUAGUCGAAAAGGCGUUGAAACCAUGCUUUUCGACGUCGCCUAAGGAUGGGGCCGCGCCCGAUCAGGUUGUUGGUGGGGUAACGGCUCACCAAGCCUAUAACCGGUACGGGCCGUGAGAGCGGGAGCCCGGAGAUGGGCACUGAGACAAGGGCCCAGGCCCUACGGGGCGCAGCAGUCGCGAAAACUCCGCAAUGCGCGAAAGCGUGACGGGGCUACCCCGAGUGCCGUCCGCUGAGGAUGGCUUUUCUCCGGUGUAAUGAGCCGGGGGAAUAAGGAGAGGGCAAGUCUGGUGUCAGCCGCCGCGGUAAUACCAGCUCUCCGAGUGGUAGGGAUGAUUAUUGGGCUUAAAGCGUCCGUAGCCGGCUUAGCAAGUCUCCUGUUAAAUUCAGCGACCUAAUCGUUGAGCCGCGGGAGAUACUACUAGGCUAGGAGGCGGGAGAGGCCGACGGUAUUCUCGGGGUAGGGGUGAAAUCCUAUAAUCCCGGGAGGACCACCAGUGGCGAAGGCUGUCGGCUAGAACGCGCUCGACGGUGAGGGACGAAAGCUGGGGGAGCGAACCGGAUUAGAUACCCGGGUAGUCCCAGCUGUAAACGAUGCGGGCUAGGUGUUGGGGUGGCUACGAGCCACUUCAGUGCCGCAGGGAAGCCAUUAAGCCCGCCGCCUGGGGAGUACGGCCGCAAGGCUGAAACUUAAAGGAAUUGGCGGGGGAGCACCACAAGGCGUGAAGCUUGCGG